Non-coding RNA from Stegodyphus mimosarum, 73 nucleotides. The record is from Rfam. Lineage: Eukaryota; Metazoa; Arthropoda; Arachnida; Araneae; Eresidae.
GCUUUCGUGGUGUAAUGGUCAGCACACUGAGCCGGUAAUUCAGAUGUCCGUGGUUCGAUCCCCGGCGAAGGCA